GACGAACGCUGGCGGCGUGCUUAACACAUGCAAGUCGAACGAGACGAUUGGAAGCUUGCUUUUAAAAGUCGAGUGGCAAACGGGUGAGUAACGCGUAGACAACCUGCCUUUGAGAUGGGGACAACAGUUCGAAAGGACUGCUAAUACCGAAUGUUGUAUAUUUUCCACAUGGAAGAUAUAUUAAAGAUGGCCUCUAUUUAUAAGCUAUCGCUCAAAGAUGGGUCUGCGUCUGAUUAGCUGGUUGGUGGGGUAACGGCCUACCAAGGCGACGAUCAGUAGCCGGUCUGAGAGGAUGAACGGCCACAUUGGGACUGAGACACGGCCCAGACUCCUACGGGAGGCAGCAGUGGGGAAUCUUCCACAAUGGACGAAAGUCUGAUGGAGCAACGCCGCGUGAGUGAAGAAGGGUUUCGGCUCGUAAAGCUCUGUUGUCGGGGACGAAUGUGCAGUAUUUGAAUAAAGUACUGUAAUGACGGUACCUGACGAGGAAGCCACGGCUAACUACGUGCCAGCCGCCGCAGUAA
Molecule: ribosomal RNA, 524 nt
Filed under: uncultured bacterium
Lineage: Bacteria
Description: partial 16S ribosomal RNA
Rfam family: Bacterial small subunit ribosomal RNA
Source: RNAcentral